UUGACCUCAAAUCGGGUGAGACUACCCGCUGAUCUUAAGCAUAUCAAUAAGCGGAGGAAAAGAAACUAACAAGGAUUCCCCUAGUAACUGCGAGUGAAGCGGGAAAAGCUCAAAUUUAAAAUCUGGUGGUCUCUGGCCAUCCGAGUUGUAAUUUAGAGAAGCGUCUUCCGCGCUGGACCGUGCACAAGUCUCCUGGAAUGGAGCGUCAUAGAGGGUGAGAAUCCCGUCUUUGGCACGGAUGUCCCGGGGCUUUUGUGAUGCGCUCUCGAAGAGUCGAGUUGUUUGGGAAUGCAGCUCAAAAUGGGUGGUGAACUCCAUCUAAAGCUAAAUAUUGGCGAGAGACCGAUAGCGAACAAGUACCGUGAGGGAAAGAUGAAAAGCACUUUGGAAAGAGAGUGAAACAGUACGUGAAAUUGUUGAAAGGGAAACGCUUGAAGUCAGUCGCGUCGACCGAGACUCAGCCUUGCUUCGGCUUGGUGUACUUCUCGGCUUGACGGGUCAGCGUCAAUUUUGUCCCUCGGAUAAUGGCGAGAGAAAGGUGGCACCUUUGCGGGUGUGUUAUAGUCUCUUGUCGCAUGCGAGGGCCAGGAUUGAGG
RNAcentral lists this ribosomal RNA (596 nucleotides) under Russula cascadensis. Its description in RNAcentral is "eukaryotic LSU rRNA". It matches the Rfam family "Eukaryotic large subunit ribosomal RNA", at positions 1 to 593 of the family's 3401-position model. Lineage: Eukaryota; Fungi; Basidiomycota; Agaricomycetes; Russulales; Russulaceae. The record is from RNAcentral.